RNAcentral lists this non-coding RNA (76 nucleotides) under unclassified sequences. The record is from RNAcentral.
AGCCGCACACGGGUGGGCUGCUCCGAAAGGAAGCCCGACGCAACUGUUAUGCGUGGUUAGCCCUACGUGCGGCUUU